Molecule: ribosomal RNA, 253 nt
Filed under: uncultured bacterium
Lineage: Bacteria
Description: partial 16S ribosomal RNA
Rfam family: Bacterial small subunit ribosomal RNA
Source: RNAcentral
GACGAACCGUGCGAACGUUGUUCGGAAUCACUGGGCUUAAAGGGCGCGUAGGCGGGUUGUCAAGUCCGGGGUGAAAGCCCCCAGCUCAACUGGGGAAGUGCCUUGGAUACUGGGAACCUCGAGGGAGGUAGGGGCGUGCGGAACUUCCGGUGGAGCGGUGAAAUGCGUAGAUAUCGGAAGGAACACCGGUGGCGAAAGCGGCGCGCUGGACCUCUUCUGACGCUGAGGCGCGAAAGCUAGGGGAGCAAACGGG